UUCCCCCCUGCAGUCAGUUUUGCAAUUUUGUGUCAGGACCCUCUGAACUACUGAGGACUCUUCUUCUGCUUCCUGCUUCCUCCCCCCCCCCCCCCCGAAGUGUUUGAGAAACUCUUCAAACUAGUAUUACUUUUAUAUUCUGAAACUGGGAGGUUUUCCGUUUCAUUUCUGCCCAUUUGCAUAACUUACCCUGUGACUUGAUUUUUCAUUUCGCUUGUGGGCUGCGUUACUGAAAUCAGUGCUAAGUGGACUGAUUUUGUUUUGUCGUGUUUUAAUAAAAAUGUCGUUGC
Molecule: non-coding RNA, 290 nt
Organism: Podarcis lilfordi (Lilford's wall lizard)
Lineage: Eukaryota; Metazoa; Chordata; Lepidosauria; Squamata; Lacertidae
Source: the annotation of a GenBank genome assembly